GUCAUCGCCAAGGCAGACACACUCACCCUGGAGGAGAGGGACUUCUUCAAACAGACGAUCAGGGAAGGACUGCGAGCCAACGGGAUCGACGUCUACCCUCAGAAAGAGUUUGACGAGGAUGCUGAUGACAGGACGAUCAAUGAUGAGAUCAGGGAGAUGAUCCCAUUUGCUGUGGUGGGGAGCAACCAGUAGUACCUGAUCAAUGGAAAGAUUAUUCUGG
This is a long non-coding RNA of Oncorhynchus nerka (sockeye salmon), 220 nucleotides long. RefSeq lists it as uncharacterized. The transcript is spliced from 3 exons. Lineage: Eukaryota; Metazoa; Chordata; Actinopteri; Salmoniformes; Salmonidae. The record is from RefSeq and is a predicted model, not a curated record.